RNAcentral lists this ribosomal RNA (254 nucleotides) under uncultured bacterium. RNAcentral describes it as "partial 16S ribosomal RNA". It matches the Rfam family "Bacterial small subunit ribosomal RNA", at positions 524 to 776 of the family's 1533-position model. The record is from RNAcentral.
GACGUAGGGUGCGAGCGUUGUCCGGAUUUAUUGGGCGUAAAGAGCUCGUAGGCGGUUCGGUAAGUCGGGUGUGAAACCUCCAGGCUCAACCUGGAGACGCCACCCGAUACUGCUGUGACUAGAGUCCGGUAGGGGAGCGUGGAAUUCCUGGUGUAGCGGUGAAAUGCGCAGAUAUCAGGAGGAACACCAGCGGCGAAGGCGGCGCUCUGGGCCGGAACUGACGCUGAGGAGCGAAAGCGUGGGGAGCAAACAGG